GUGGGGAAUAUUGGACAAUGGGCGGAAGCCUGAUCCAGCCAUGCCGCGUGUGUGAAGAAGGCCUUUUGGUUGUAAAGCACUUUAAGCGAGGAGGAGGCUCUUAAGGUUAAUACCCUUGAUGAGUGGACGUUACUCGCAGAAUAAGCACCGGCUAACUCUGUGCCAGCAGCCGCGGUAAUACAGAGGGUGCGAGCGUUAAUCGGAUUUACUGGGCGUAAAGCGUGCGUAGGCGGCUGAUUAAGUCGGAUGUGAAAUCCCUAAGCUUAACUUAGGAGUUGCAUUCGAUACUGGUCAGCUAGAGUAUGGGAGAGGAUGGUAGAAUUCCAGGUGUAGCGGUGAAAUGCGUAGAGAUCUGGAGGAAUACCGAUGGCGAAGGCAGCCAUCUGGCCUAAUACUGACGCUGAGGUACGAAAGCAUGGGGAGCAAACAGGAUUAGAUACCCGAGUAGUCC
RNAcentral lists this ribosomal RNA (451 nucleotides) under uncultured bacterium. RNAcentral's name for it is "partial 16S ribosomal RNA". It matches the Rfam family "Bacterial small subunit ribosomal RNA", at positions 354 to 796 of the family's 1533-position model. The record is from RNAcentral.